Gadus morhua (Atlantic cod) is the source of this 163-nucleotide long non-coding RNA. RefSeq lists it as uncharacterized. NCBI's taxonomy places the organism in Eukaryota, Metazoa, Chordata, Actinopteri, Gadiformes, Gadidae. The transcript is spliced from 3 exons. The record is from RefSeq and is a predicted model, not a curated record.
AAAGGUGCACCACCGCAAGUUCAACAAGCAACAAUAUACCAGAAUCUGAUUUUCAGCCAGUUAGAUGACGUGUGCACAUCCUACCUCUUUGCAAACCUGCCGUUACAGGAAACUGAUACCUUAGUGGAACUCUGUGUCAUGAUGCUUGUUCAAAAAUCAAAGG